AUUAUUUCUCGGUCUUUUGGCUAAGAUCAGGUGUAGUAUCUGUUCUUACCAGUUUUAAUAUCUUAUAUGUCCUCUAUCCAAGGACAUAUUAAACAGAUUUUUGGAGCAGGAAAAUGGAAUAGGAUUUUGCUCUGCUUACUCCACACAUCGAUCUGGUAUUGUAGUACUUCCAGGAGUGGUGCACCCCUU
RNAcentral lists this small nuclear RNA (189 nucleotides) under Castor canadensis (American beaver). RNAcentral's name for it is "U2 spliceosomal RNA (ENSCCNG00000008051.1)". It matches the Rfam family "U2 spliceosomal RNA". From Rfam's summary of the family: U2 is a small nuclear RNA (snRNA) component of the spliceosome (involved in pre-mRNA splicing). Lineage: Eukaryota; Metazoa; Chordata; Mammalia; Rodentia; Castoridae. The record is from Rfam by way of RNAcentral.